UACGGAGGAGGCAAGCGUUAUCCGGAAUUAUUGGGCGUAAAGCGUCCGCAGGUGGUUGGUCAAGUCAGCUGUUAAAGCGUGGGGCUUAACUCCAUACCGGCAGUUGAAACUGACUAGCUAGAGUGCGAUAGGGGCAAGGGGAAUUCCCAGUGUAGCGGUGAAAUGCGUAGAUAUUGGGAAGAACACCGGUGGCGAAAGCGCCUUGCUGGGUCUGCACUGACACUGAGGGACGAAAGCUAGGGGAGCGAAAGGG
RNAcentral lists this ribosomal RNA (253 nucleotides) under uncultured bacterium. Its description in RNAcentral is "partial 16S ribosomal RNA". It matches the Rfam family "Bacterial small subunit ribosomal RNA", at positions 524 to 776 of the family's 1533-position model. The record is from RNAcentral.